AGAGUUUGAUCCUGGCUCAGGAUGAACGCUGGCGGCGUGCCUAACACAUGCAAGUCGAGCGAUUUACUUCGGUAAAGAGCGGCGGACGGGUGAGUAACGCGUGGGUAACCUGCCCUGUACACACGGAUAACAUACCGAAAGGUAUGCUAAUACGAGAUAAUAUGCUUUUAUCGCAUGGUAGAAGUAUCAAAGCUUUUGUGGUACAGGAUGGACCCGCGUCUGAUUAGCUAGUUGGUAAGGUAACGGCUUACCAAGGCGACGAUCAGUAGCCGACCUGAGAGGGUGAUCGGCCACAUUGGAACUGAGACACGGUCCAAACUCCUACGGGAGGCAGCAGUGGGGAAUAUUGCACAAUGGGCGAAAGCCUGAUGCAGCAACGCCGCGUGAGCGAUGAAGGCCUUCGGGUCGUAAAGCUCUGUCCUCAAGGAAGAUAAUGACGGUACUUGAGGAGGAAGCCCCGG
Molecule: ribosomal RNA, 461 nt
Filed under: uncultured bacterium
Lineage: Bacteria
Description: bacterial SSU rRNA
Rfam family: Bacterial small subunit ribosomal RNA
Source: RNAcentral